RNAcentral lists this small nuclear RNA (178 nucleotides) under Trichobilharzia regenti. Its description in RNAcentral is "U2 spliceosomal RNA". It matches the Rfam family "U2 spliceosomal RNA". Rfam says of the family: U2 is a small nuclear RNA (snRNA) component of the spliceosome (involved in pre-mRNA splicing). Complementary binding between U2 snRNA (in an area lying towards the 5' end but 3' to hairpin I) and the branchpoint sequence (BPS) of the intron results the bulging out of an unpaired adenosine, on the BPS, which initiates a nucleophilic attack at the intronic 5' splice site, thus starting the first of two transesterification reactions that mediate splicing. Lineage: Eukaryota; Metazoa; Platyhelminthes; Trematoda; Strigeidida; Schistosomatidae. The record is from Rfam by way of RNAcentral.
AUUGCUUCUCGGCUCUCUGAGCUAAGAUCAUGUGUAGUGUCUGUUCUUUGCAGUGUAAUUUCUGCAACAGCCUCUAAACUUAGACCAAUGAAAUUACCUGUAUUUUUCCUCGAGGAUUAGCUCAUUUGUGCAUCAGUGGCACAGCGGUUAGGACUCUCGCCAAUCAUGCACAUGGUCC